CCUCCUUAUCUCGAAUGCAUGUGUGUGGUUUGUUCUUAACCAAUUAAAAAAAAGAAAGAAAGAAAAACUUGUAUUGUGUUUGGAUGGAGGAAUUUGAAAUAUGAGAUUUGAAUUUGAUAAUAGUAUACAUUUUGUUCAAUUUAUUAGAGUCGUGAAUAUAUGUUAGGCUUAUAAAUAUGGAGCGAAUGUUAUUAAAGCAUGGAUUUGAAAUUAUUUAUUUAGUGGUGUUUUUUUAAAUCGACUCUAACAAGUUCUUAAUAAUUAUAGGGUGUUAUUUAAAAUCCAUAAUUUAUCAAUAAUUUAUAAUAAAAUUAAAUAUAAAUUCCUCUAUUUCAAAUGUUGGUAUCCAAACAUAGCAUUUCAUAAUUUUAUUUUAUUUAGUUCUGAUGGGGAAUUAUUUUGUUGUCCUAGAUGUAUAUGCCUUAUUUUCAAAAUUUAUUUAUAUCUUAAUCCACAAAUUAUCCAUUCCCACAUUUUUACUGAUCUUAUAGGUUUCUCAUGUGAUUCUCCUAUCUUCAGCAAGCUUUAUGUGGAUAAUUUUGGUUCCCAAAUGAGUUAAUUGUUACUAUAUUUUGUUGAACUUUGAAGGUCAUGUUACUUCAAAAAGAAUGCAUUCUAGAUAAUUCUUGUGCUUGCUAUAGUGCAUCUUUGAAAGAUGUAGAUAUCCAUAGGCGACGCAUUUUAAUAGGUAACACUUAACAAAUCCACCCUUUUGCUUUGGUCAAGCAAGCACAACUGUUCCUUGCUAAUGUAAAAUAAUAGAUCAAGUUUCCUGAAUUUGUAUGAAGCAAUCAUUAGUAUCAUACUGUGUAUUAUGCUGACAAGUUCUGUGAGCAAUUAGUCAAUCACAUUGUAUGAGUUGAAUGGAACACUGAACCCUGCUUCAUGAAAAGCAGCCAUCCAAAGGCUCGAUAAGUUCUGAUUUGUUUAGAAGCUAAAAUUUCUUCAAUUUAUUUUUCCUAUUGUUGUGAUUCUCUGGCAAUAAAGAAGGUUAUUAGUUAGAAAUGCUGAAAUUGGUCCCAACCUAGCUUGGCAGUGUUUUGUUAAGUAAAUGACAUACAUCCUGCUGUUGGAAACUUAUGAUUUAGUGCUCUUAUCGUUUUCUGUUAAAAAAUUCGAUAUAUUGCUCUCUUUAUUAUUUGUUGCUUGCCAGGUGUUUUCUUGAACUUAAAAGCAAUUUAUUCUGUACAUUGGAAGCCCUAAGUCCAGUCUAUUUUCUGUUUCUUCUACCGUUGACAGGGAGAUGGGAGGCCAUUUUGGAAACUUGUUGUUUCUGAAGCCACUGGUUGCACUAAUGAUGAUUAUUUUGAAGAAGUCUAUAAGGUAACAUUCCUCUCUCUGUUGGUAUUAUAGUAUUGAAAUAAAUUUACUGAAUGCAUAUAUGUCUAGUUCUUAUUAUUUACAGAUACCAAAAUGCAAUAAAUUUCUCUAAUGAUUACUUCAAUAUUGGAGGCUUUUGUCUCAAGUGCCAAUGGUUGCUUUAUACAGUACUAUGCAAAUGGCGAUGCAUGGCGCCUUCCAGAUGGGGCUUAUGAAACAUUAUUCCUUCUUAAAGAUACUGGAGGUCAUACUCAUCAAGUUUUCUCCUUUUUUCAUGCAUUAAUUCUAGCAACAACCAAUGUCCUGGAAUGAAUCAUUUCUUGUUUUUCUUAACUUGGUGAGUAAUGACACAGUUAAGCUGGCUGUUGUAUCCAAUUUUGACACCCGCUUAAGGAAGCUAUUAAAGGACCUAAAUCUUAUAGAUUUGUUUGAUGCUCUAAUCGUAUCUUCAGAAGUUGGAUAUGAAAAACCAGAUCCAAAUAUAUUUAAAGCUGCUUUAGGUAUGAAAUACAACACAAUCAGUUCUUAUUGACAAAGUGUGGAGGGGCAGGGAAGGGAGGUGAGAAGAGGAGGCAACUAUAAUAUAAGUAUACAAGGCCAAAUUCCCUUAGGGUUCAAUUGGCUAGGCAAGUAUUUAAAUGAAGAGGGAUUUGGAUUUGUAUUUCAAUUGAAGGAUAACAGAAAUACUCCUUCAUUUCAAAUGCACAACUGUCCAGAUGGAUUUGACCCUCACAUUACAAUUAUACCUUGUGGACACAAUGGUAGACUAUUAGUAUGUGGUGCACACCUCAAAAAUUUCCAUUGUUAACUGGGGUCAUAGGCAUGUGCCUAUAGGAAACUCCCAUCAUUCAAUUGGCUUUGUGCAUCCGAUUCCCAUCUCUAUUGGAUAACUAUAAGAAUGUCUAAAGCUAUUUUAUCUUUCAUACUAGUGAAGUUUAAAUGGCAUGCUUGUUAUGAAUAGUUCUGCUUAGACAUACAAUUUGUUCUUUCAUGAUGCUUAACAGUAGUCAAUAUAUAGAUGAAUCAUUCUUUUGUUAUUUCUUUUUAGGGUAAAUUUUUAUAAUAUCCCUGAGGUUUGACAAUAUUAAUAAGUCAGUCCCUGCCUUAUUUAAAUCAAAUGAAAUAGUCCUUAUAAGUUUGUUCCAUUUAUCAAUCAGUCCUGUUAGUUUCUGCCUUUAGAAUGAAUGAAAUGACAAAAUUACCUAUAAUAUAUAUGGAAAAGCCUCUCACAGAAGCAUCUAAACCCACCACUUUCAUUGUCUUCAUAUUCUCUCUCUUCUUUCUCUCUAAUGCCACCCCCCUCCCUCUUUUUUUCCCUUCUUUUUGGUUUCACUGAUUGCUUUGAUCUUCUUUUAUUCUCUCCUUUUGUGCUUUGCUUGGAGAUUGAGAAUAUUGAAGCUACUACAUUCAAGGUGAUAAUUGUGGGAAUUAUUGUAGUGGGAAGAUCCAUAAGAGCAAUAUCUUAUUUUCAUGGUGUUGGGUGUGUAGGCGAGGUCAAGGUUUCCUGCGUUAUUCAAAAUCAGUUUGUUCCUUUCCCAAAUUCCAAUGUCAAUGAUCAAGAGUAAAAGAUGCUUCAUCAGAUCUAAUCUUCUCUAAUCAAUUCUUGUAUUUUAAUUUUUGAUUUUCUAUAAAAUGCAAUGGGUGACAUUAAUUUUUUGCAAAAAUCUUUGGUUUUUCUUGUUAUUACUGGUUAUAAUUUUCUUCCUUGAUAUCUAUUAAGAUUGUGAUUUAUCAAAUCUGAAUGAUUAGUGGCUUUGGUUAUUUGUGGAGGAUUUACUAUUUGUACAAUAUUUAGGAAAUUGUUUGUUAGUUGGUUUCUUAAUUCAAAAUUCAAAGUCCAAGGGUGCGGUACAAGGAGGUUUGGAGGUGCUGGAAAAAGAUGAAGGAGAUGUGAGUUCUUUAUUUAUUUUGUCCUUGCCCCUCAAGGGCAUCUUGGGCAUUAAAAUUAAAUUUAGUAACUUUGACCACCUUUUUGCACAUUGACCAGCGGCAAAGGUAAAAAAUGUAGAUGGAAGAAUUAUAUGGUUAACGGAAUAAAAUAGUUGGGACUAAAUCAUUUGAUGUUUAAAAAGUAGGGACUAAAUCGUCAAUACUGUCAAACCUUAGGGAUGCAAUAGUAAUUUACUCUUCCUUUUAUCUGAGGUGAAGGGAUUGGAGCUACACCAUCUUCAAUCCUUCUUUUUAAAGAAUAAAUAAAUUUAGUACUAACUCCCAUAAUCUCUUAUGCUGCAAAACCUAAUGAAAUUUAUUUUAGAUCAAGUAAAUGUGGAGGCUAGCAAGGCAGUACAUGUUGGAGAUGAUCUCAAGGCAGACAAGGAUGGAGCCAAUGCAAUUGGUAUUGAUUGCUGGUAAGUGCAGCUUAUGAUCUUUAACAAUCACUUGCCGUAGACGUGUAAAACUCUCAUGUAAUUCAAGCUUUGUUUUCAUUCCCAGCGCUAAUCCUACUUUAUGACAGAACGGUUCUUUUUGAUAUAUGAUUCCAUAUACAUUGGUUCACACAAGUCAAUGUAAUAAAUAUCUUACAUUUCAGUUGGGGGUAAUUAAAUUUAUUAGCUUUCUCAAGAACCUCGAAUGUGGACUGUAACAGUUGCUAGUAUCUGAAUAAGCAGGUUAUGGGGAGCAGAUGUCAAGACAUUCACAGAUAUACAAAAUCGCAUCCUUGCCUAAGUAAUUAGGUGUCAACAGUUCUUAGUGCUAAUUCAAGUCUUUGUAAUUCUUGGAUAUAUUUAUGUUUUGGAU
This 4059-nucleotide unclassified non-coding RNA is filed under the name Hevea brasiliensis (rubber tree). The record is from RNAcentral. Lineage: Eukaryota; Viridiplantae; Streptophyta; Magnoliopsida; Malpighiales; Euphorbiaceae.